This 3192-nucleotide long non-coding RNA is filed under the name Mus musculus (house mouse). RNAcentral's name for it is "long non-coding RNA chr12:117279434-117282626". The record is from RNAcentral. Lineage: Eukaryota; Metazoa; Chordata; Mammalia; Rodentia; Muridae.
UUUUUUUUAGGCCAUUAUAGGUUCUAGCUAUUAACCCCCUGUCAGUUAUAUGGUUGGCAAAGGUCUCCCUUUCUGUGGGCUGUACCUUCACUUUGCUAACAGUUUCUUUCCUUCGCUGUACAGAAAACUUUUAGAUUCACACAAUCUGAUUUUUAAAGAUAUUUGGCACUCUUUCCUGUGCCACCGGAGUCUUAUUCAAAAAAAAAAAAAAAGUCUUUGCCUGUGCUUGUAUCUUAAACUGGUUUUUCCUGGAAGUUUCAAAAGUUUAAGGCUCCUAUCAAGGUCAUUGGUCUGUUUGAAUCGAUUUCCUGCAGGGUAGGAGCCAUGAGUCUGGUUUCUCCCCAGUGGAAACUGGUGGCAGUUUUUAAAGAGACUGGGUUUCAGUAUAUAUGUGACAGCUUUGUCAAAAAUUGUCUACAGAUGGUAAGUUUAUCUCUGGUUCCCCUAUCCUUUCCAGUGGUCUACAUGUCUGCUUUUGUGUCCACACCAUGUUCCUUUUGCUGCCAUAACUCUGCAGAACAUUUCCUUUUUUAAGAUCAUGUGCGUGCGUGCGUGCGUGCGUGCGUGCGUGCGUGCGUGCGUGCGUGCAUGCGUGCUUGCUUGCAUCCUUGCUUCCUUGCUUGCUUGCUUGCUGAAACUCUCAAAGGCCAAAAGGGCAUUGGAUCCCCUGGAAUUAUCGGCAUGUGUGAACCACUUUACCGGGGUGCUGAGAACUGAGCUCUGGUCCUCUGGAGAAGCAGCAAGCAUCUCUGACUGCUGAAGUAUCUCUAGCCCUGGAUCAUUACAAGUCAGGUAUUGAGAUAUCGCCAUCAGUUUGUUCUGCUCAGGGCUGCUUGUUUUGUGCUUUCAUCUGAACCUUAGGCUGAUUUUUUAGUUCUGUAGGAGGAUGCUGUAGUUCUACGGGGCUCUCCUUGCAUCGAUAGGUUGCUUUUAGUAAUUACCCAUUAUCAUAGUAUAUAUUCUGCUCCUUGUGAGCAAGAGACGCCUUUCCCUAGUCUAAUUUUCUUUUUUUUCUUAAAUGUUUUAAAGUUUCCAUUAUACAAGUAUUUCAUGUCCUUAGUUAGUUUAUUCCUAAGAAUGUUUUGGAUUUUUUUAGAGUAAUGUGAAUUUGAAUUUUUCCUGAGUUCUUUCUUGGCAAAUUUAUUAUUUCUAUAUAGGAAAGUUACUGGGAUUUGUAUAUCAAUUUUGAAAUCUGCUCCUUUGCUGAAAAUCCUUAUUGUAUCUAAGAGUUUUCUGGCAGAGGUCCUUUAACUAUGGGACCAUGUCAUCUGCAAGCAGAUGCAAGUAUAACUUUUAUUUCCUAUCUGUAUCCCUUUCAUUUCUCUUUGUCUUUUGCUCUAGCUAGGGCUUCAAGUACUGCACUGAGUAAGAACAAAGAGAUACUCUUAGUGCCUUUCUCAUUUUUAAAGAAAUGCUUUCAGUUUUCCUACUUCAUAUAAUGCUGACUAUUGGUUUUUAGUUUCCUUUACUGUUGUUGCCUUUACUGAGUUGAGUUCUGAGAACAGCAACUCCAGGAAAAACGGUUUCUUUUGACUCAAGGUUCAAGGUCCAUCAUAGCAGAGAAGUCAGGGUAGCUGGUACUUCAAGUGCUUAUUUACGCUGUAUACACAAGCAGAAGGAAGAAAGAGAUGAACUCAUGCUGCUAUCCAGUGGCCCUUUCCCUGUUUUAUGCAGUGGAGAACCCAAUCCAGGGGAAUGGUACCACCCACAGUGGACAGGUAUGCCCGUUUUGUUAGUACAAUAAAGCUAACUCCAUAGGCAGAGACCCAUCUCUCAGAUCAUUCUAGAUUCUGUCAAGUUGAAAAUUAGAUAAUAUAGAUGAUUGAUAGAUAUAGAUGAUAGAUAGAUAGAUGAUAGAUGGAUAGAUAGGCAGAUAUAUAGAUGAUAGAUAGAUAAUAGAUGGAGAUAGAUGAUUGAUAGAUGAUGAUAGAUAGAUAAUAGAUAGAUGAUAGAUAAUUGAUAGAUAAUAGAUUGAUAGAUGAUAGAUAAUAUAUCUUUUAUUCUUAGUUUCUUGGAAGCUUUUUAUCAUGACAGGAUGUUCAAUGUUGUCAAAGAACACUUCUGCAUCCGUUAAGAAGACCCUGUAAUUUCUAUUGUUAAGUUUAUGUACUGUAUUAAAAUUAUUGACUUGUAACUGUUGUACCAUCCUGUAUUCUUGGAAAAAGUCAACUUGCUGAUAGUAUGUGAGCAUCUUCAUGAGCUGUUGAAUUCCAUAUGCAAGUGUUUUACUGAGCAUUUUUGUGUGUAUGCUCAGGGAAAUUGGUCUCUUGAGUUUUGUGUAUUUGUUUGGUGGGGAUCCUUAUCCCAUUUUGCUACCAGGGUGAUGCUGGUUUCUUUGAGGGGAUUUGUUAGCAUUCUUUCUCUUUUUAUUUUUAUGGAGCAACUUGAGCACCAUGCAUUAGUUCUUUGAAGGUUUAGUAUGCGAGUUCAGUAAAACCUGUCUUCUGAGGCUCUCUCUGAGGAGGCUGCUGUUCGUUAUUGCUUCAACCAUGUUGCUUGUUAUGGAUCCAUUAAGUUGUUUCUAUUCUCUAGAUUUCAUUUUGGCGACUUACCUAUGUCUUUGUCUAUGAAUUUAUCUGUUCUAGGGAUUCCAGUCUUUUAGAAUAUAAUUUUCAAAAUAUCUCUUAAUAGUUAAGGGGUUCUCUCCUGAGGCCCAAGGCACAACUAUAAAUAUUUUAUCUAGACAGCACAAAGGGAUCCAGGCACUGUGCUAGGUGGCUUCAUUUUUGUCUUUCAGAUUUAAUGUUUUUUUAUUUCUUUCUUUUGAGAUUUUAACACACCAUCCCCUCCUCCCUGUUCUUUCCACCAACCAAAGCCUCCCAUAGAUCUCUCCUUGCUCUCUUUAAAAGUCUUAAAAACUGGCUGGUGUUCCCCUCCCCCUCUGCAUAUUCUCAUUCUCCUGGCUUCUCUUGUUUAGCAUUUAAACACGUGCAGAAACCACCCGGGUACUCCCCAGGGGGAUUGAGAGUAAUAUUAUAGGUAAUCUGUGUUUUGUGCUUUAUUAAUCAAGUAGAACACUAAUAAAAAAAACUUCAUAAUUAGUGGAAUAGAAACUAAUUCAAAGAUAUCUAUUGGAAUAGAAAAUUAGAGUUUGAUUACACCUUUGCUUCUGAACAAUGACGGCCUUUCAUUUACCUUGAUGUUUGGGGGUCGGUCUUAGCUGUUUAUGAUGCUCAAUUUAUUAAACAAACC